UACAUAUAUUUCAAAAGUUGCAGCACCCUCACAAACCGCCAUUAGGUAUAAUAAUGGUAGUUUGGCAGUUAGAGCAAACUGUACGUUUCUAUUGAAUAUCGUCGUGUAAAAACCGGUUUCAAUGUGUACUCACACGAAUAGAAAAACGAAAAGGAUUAUUAAUUCUGCUAAUUAUCGAAUGAUGAAUCGCUUGAAAAUUAAAGCAUUGGAGACGACGACAGGCGACACAGCAACGCGGCACAGUUGCAACGUCGACGGAAAAUCACUUUUACCUGGUGCACGUCGUGACAAAUGAAUACGAAUGCCCAUCGAACGACAUUGGCGAAAACAUGAAUGAUUGCUGAUCCGUACAUUGGGACAUUCGUCAUUUAACCACGGAGGAAUGAAAAUUUAAGGGCCAUCGGAUGUAGCGCUGACAUUUCACGCGUGCAAAAUUUCUUUCUGUUCUUUCGAAAAAUAGAUAGUGCUUUUAACGAUUAUCGGUGAAGAUUAAUGUUUCACAGGAGUGAAAACACCAAAACGAAAGAAGUCAACAUAAUGUUUCAAACAAUCUCAAAACAUUGUGGUUGUAACCCCUUGCUUUAUGACUUUUUUCUCAAUUUUCAGCAACCAUUUAUUAUCAUAACGUGUUACAUCGUGUCAGAUGCAAAGCACUAAAAGCAUUAUGUAUAAUUUGUAUUUAUUAGUCUUCAGUUUGAAGAGUUGAGAUAAAAAAUACAAAAUUAUAUUGCCUAAGACUACAAUUUGCUUUUUCUUUCAGAUUGAAACCGAAUCUUCACCGAAUAAUUUCUGCCACGAGUGUAACUCGAUAAAAUAACUCAAAGGUUGAACGUGUUUUACAGUUUCUAAACCGAUACAUUCUUCAAAUAAUCCAGCCAUAGUUAACCGUUUCUCCAUCACGAAGCGGAAUACCUCGAGACUAGUAUUAAUAGAGACUGGUAAAUAUUUAAAUCAAGAUUGGAUAAAUCACAAUACACGUGGACAUAUGCAAUUUCAUCUAAGUCGCGAUGGAAAUGGAAUAUAAAAUAUAUAAAAUAUGCAAUUUAUUAAUUAUUAACUGUUAACUGGCAUCAUUAUGCUAUUGAAUGGCGAAUAUGGAAUUGGCGUGUAUGAGAGGACGCUGUAGCGUGUAACAUGGAAAAAAGUUUGGUGACUCAUCGAUCGAGAUGGAAAUGCAUAUUCGCAGACAAAGAUCGACUCGAUAAAUUCGCAAAAGAUUUCUUGGUUUGGCAAGGCUUUAAUGGAAAACGCGGCCUCUGGAAACUCCAGGCAUCGGAAUAUCCGUGCAGACGCAGAAUCAGAGAGGGGUCUCCGUCGAUGUUGAGACACGAGAACGCUUUUCCGGUGACACGUAAAUAAAAGUUCGAAGGUAAAGCGGUUGGAAAUAAAACUAGCCUAGGUCGAGGAACGAAGCGGCGGCGAGAAGUGAGCGCGGGGAGGGGUAAAAGGAAAAAUCGUUGCAUCGAGAAAAACUGACAUAUAUGAAGGUUAUCGCUUCUCGUUGAUAUAUUUUUACUAGACUCUUUGCGAGUCGAUCGUCAGUUGAUUUAAGUUCCGUUUGCAAUACGUGGUCUCUUGGUGAACGAUUGGUUUGUUUCCAACGGUUCUAAUCUUUGCUCGUAUUUGCACGGAAUUAUUUCGUUUAAUUUAAUUUCUUUAUCUAUUUAUACGGGAUAAAAAUUCCUUGAUAUAAAGAUACGUAAGGUGCAGAAAUAUAAACACAAUUAAUACAGUCGGAUAAAUAGAGUCAAUGGAUUAAUUGAGAUUUUAUUAAAUGGAGUUCGCUAGAAAUAAUGUAACGUCAUUU
Long non-coding RNA from Frieseomelitta varia, 1807 nucleotides. RefSeq lists it as uncharacterized. Lineage: Eukaryota; Metazoa; Arthropoda; Insecta; Hymenoptera; Apidae. The record is from RefSeq and is a predicted model, not a curated record. The transcript has 3 exons.